This 781-nucleotide long non-coding RNA is filed under the name Musa acuminata (dwarf banana). RNAcentral describes it as "long non-coding RNA (MACU_LNC008465)". The record is from RNAcentral. Lineage: Eukaryota; Viridiplantae; Streptophyta; Magnoliopsida; Zingiberales; Musaceae.
AGCAAGGUUCAUGUCUGGAGAAACAUCAAGCACUGAUCACUAGUCUUGGAUUCUUCAGAAAGAUAAACAAAGCGACAAGUCGCAGUAUGUUGGAUUCCACCUCAUUCUUCCUUAGUCCAUAAGUUUGAGUUCACUCUUGUGGAGGCUGGCGCAGUGAUUCAGCAGUGGAUCUCUCACUGACCCCUUAAACCAGUUUGAACAAAAAGCACGUUGUGUGCACACGGUGUGAGGCAAUUCUUGCACUGCCUUAGUAUCAAUUUCCAACAUCAAUUAGCAGAUAUCAAUGGAAGUUUCUGAUUCAUUCAAGAACUUGCAAGAAUCGACAUGUGACUUCGAAGCUUUUGAUCGGAUUACAAACUAUUCCAAGGAGAUCAAAUAGAUGCUUUUCGAGACCAUGAUCAGUCGCAGUCACAUUAUUCUAAAGAACCAUAUUUUGAUCGGAAUAAUCUAUAUAUGCUUUUCUCCACUUGGUUGUUUCCUUCCUGCUUCUUGCUUUUAGGAGCAAUUGUCAAACAUGGUGUUCUUCAUGUUUCCAGGACAAUUAACGUCACCUUAGAGGAAGUAGGAAGAUUCGAAACAACUCAUUAGAGAAAAUUAUAUAGUGCAAGAACAAACACAUAAAACACAUCUUCACCUGUGGCAUAUUCAUUAAUUUGUGCUCCUUGUAGUGCACUUGUAAUUGUUGUGGUAUUUGCCCAUCCAAAUGUGCCACAUGAAAACCAUCAAACAGGAGUCAGUGUGGUGGCUUUAGUAAAGCAAAGAAGCAUCCCAUUGCCUCACA